UAAGGAAUAUUGGUCAAUGGACGCAAGUCUGAACCAGCCAUGCCGCGUGAAGGAUUAAGGCCCUCUGGGUUGUAAACUUCUUUUAUAGGGGAAGAAAUGUGACGGUUCUCCGUCACUUGACGGUACCCUGGGCAUAAGCACCGGCUAACUCCGUGCCAGCAGCCGCGGUAAUACGGAGGGUGCAAGCGUUAUCCGGAUUCACUGGGUUUAAAGGGUGCGUAGGUGGGCAGAUAAGUCAGUGGUGAAAUCUUCCGGCUUAACCGGGAAACUGCCGUUGAUACUAUAGGUCUUGAAUUAUCUGGAGGUAAGCGGAAUAUGUCAUGUAGCGGUGAAAUGCUUAGGUAUGACAUAGAACACCAAUUGCGAAGGCAGCUUACUACAUAUAAAUUGACGCUGAGGCACGAAAGCGUGGGGAUCAAACA
RNAcentral lists this ribosomal RNA (422 nucleotides) under uncultured bacterium. RNAcentral's name for it is "bacterial SSU rRNA". It matches the Rfam family "Bacterial small subunit ribosomal RNA", at positions 355 to 774 of the family's 1533-position model. The record is from RNAcentral.